GGACGAACGCUGGCGGCGUGCCUAAUACAUGCAAGUCGAACGGUCUUUCUAUGGAAGCUUGCUCCACUGAGAAGAUAGUGGCGAACGGGUGAGUAACACGUGGGUAACCUGCCCAUAAGAGGGGGAUAACAUCCGGAAACGGGUGCUAAUACCGCAUAGUUUUCUUGAUCGCAUGAUUGAGAAAGGAAAGACGGCCUUUGUGCUGUCGCUUAUGGAUGGACCCGCGGCGUAUUAGUUAGUUGGUGAGGUAACGGCUCACCAAGACGAUGAUACGUAGCCGACCUGAGAGGUGAUCGGCCACAUUGGGACUGAGACACGGCCCAAACUCCUACGGGAGGCAGCAGUAGGGAAUCUUCCGCAAUGGACGAAAGUCUGACGGAGCAACGCCGCGUGAGUGAAAGAAGGUUUUCGGAUCGUAAAACUCUGUUGUCAGAGAAGAACAAGUUGGAGAGUAACUGCUCCAGCCUUGACGGUAUCUGACCAGAAAGCCACGGCUAACUACGUGCCAGCCGCCGC
RNAcentral lists this ribosomal RNA (516 nucleotides) under uncultured bacterium. RNAcentral describes it as "bacterial SSU rRNA". It matches the Rfam family "Bacterial small subunit ribosomal RNA", at positions 27 to 518 of the family's 1533-position model. The record is from RNAcentral.